UCCGCAUUGGUGUAAUGGUAACAUAGCCGGUUUUCAGAACCAGAGCCCGGGGUUCAAUUCCCCGAUGCGGAA
Molecule: transfer RNA, 72 nt
Filed under: Fonsecaea multimorphosa CBS 102226
Lineage: Eukaryota; Fungi; Ascomycota; Eurotiomycetes; Chaetothyriales; Herpotrichiellaceae
Description: tRNA-Sup (TCA) (tRNA-Sup-TCA-1-1)
Rfam family: tRNA
About the family: Transfer RNA (tRNA) molecules are approximately 80 nucleotides in length.
Source: RNAcentral